RNAcentral lists this long non-coding RNA (231 nucleotides) under Vigna radiata. Its description in RNAcentral is "long non-coding RNA (VRAD_LNC002999)". The record is from RNAcentral. Lineage: Eukaryota; Viridiplantae; Streptophyta; Magnoliopsida; Fabales; Fabaceae.
GAGAAGCUUCACGUUGGCGACGAAUUUUUGCUGUGAUGGUUGUGCCAUGGGUUUCAAAUGGAGGAGAUGAAUGUUGCGGUGGUUGGGUUUCAAAUGGAGGAGAUGAGUGUUGCAGUGGUUGGGUUUCAAAUGGAGGAGAUGAGUGUUGCAGUGGUUGGGUUUCAAAUGGCGACCAUGAAUAGGAUUCUUGGAUAUCAUUUUCUCGGAGGUUGGUUGCGGUGGAGAUUGGGC